CCUCUAGGAUUGGAACUAUUGUGUCCAAGACCAAUUGGUCCUAAUGUAGAACUGGAACCUGUUGUAAGCCAUUAAACUGGAGCUAAACCCCAAAUAAUCUGAAAGUUGUGUAAUGUCCUGCUCAGUGAAGGCAUGCAUUCCUGGAAGAGCAGAGGUCCUGAGAAUGUCAAAAGCUCUUGAAAACAGGUCCAGUUUCCACUUUGCCAGACGCUAUGCCAAAGACUGCUCUGAGAGCUAAUUUUGGAUAAUGAGCAAUCAGCAAGGGCAGAACAUCCUUCUUUUCCCUCUCUGGAUUUUGCCAGCAAACAGCAGUAGGCUAGCAGCUCUACAUGGAAUCUCCUGGCCAGCAGCUCUCACCAGGAACAAGAGUCCAGGGCAGGAGCUUCAGAAAGACUACAGGAGCCAUGUGGACUUGAGAAACACUGCUCACAAUGAUGAAGCUGAGUCACAGAAAGGUUUCCAGAAUCUGGAUCACAACUGA
Molecule: long non-coding RNA, 481 nt
Filed under: Corvus moneduloides (New Caledonian crow)
Lineage: Eukaryota; Metazoa; Chordata; Aves; Passeriformes; Corvidae
Description: lncRNA (ENSCMUG00000017411.1)
Source: RNAcentral